AAAUCUAUUAGCGUACUAGGCUCUUUGCGGGACGGAAGCUAGCAGCGCUACUCGUGCGUGCACUGACAUAAUACACAAGCGGGAUGCACGGUCCUGCAAUAAAGUAUGCGCGUCGUAUUGACCUGCUCAACAUGCAGGCCGGUAAAGGCUGCCCUGUGUCACGGCGUCGUGAUUCCAUAUAUAUGUAUUGUCAAAUGGAGAACAAUGAAAGCAAGUCACCAUCGUAGUAGCAGUGCUGGUUAAUGUACCUGUGCUCCCCUCAACCUUCAGUCUUAAUAAUUUAGAUAAGAGCGAUUUUGACUCAUGCAUUAAGUUUCCUUCGCCCGCCUGCAGGAAUCAGCGGCUGCGGCCAAGGCCCAGUUUGACAAGUUCGUGUUGGACAAGACGGAGGAGAAAGCGGCCUUUGACCUGGUGCUGGAAAAGACGGCGGCUGAGGCGGCGGCACAGAAGGCCAUUGCUGACAAGGCGUUAGUUGACUUCGGCGAGCUGCAGGUAUUGUGCUUGGGGAAGGGUCUCGCGUACUUCGAGGAGGUCUGGAUUGAUAAUCACCCCAAAUUCUGCUGCUCACGAGCAGGAGUCUUCAACGGCUGCUAAGGCCCAGUUUGACAAGUUCGUAUUGGACAAGGCGGAGGAGAAAGCGGCCUUUGACUUGGUGCUGGAGAAGACGACGGCUGAGGCGGCGGCACAGAAGGCCAUUGCUGACAAGGCGUUAGUGGACUUCGGCGAGCUGCAGGUAUUGUGCUUGGGGAAGGGUCUCGCGUACUUCGAGGAGGUCUGGAUUGAUAAUCACCCCAAAUUCUGCUGCUCACGAGCAGGAGUCUUCAACUGCCGCCAAGGCCCAGUUUGACAAGUUCGUGUUGGACAAGGCGGAGGAGAAAGCGGCCUUUGAUCUGGUGCUGGAGAAGACCACAGCUGAGGCGGCGGCACAGAAGGCCAUUGCUGACAAGGCGUUAGUGGACUUCGGCGAGCUGCAGGUAUUGUGCUUGGGGAAGGGUCUCGCGUACUUCGAGGAGGUCUGGAUUGAUAAUCACCCCAAAUUCUGCUGCUCACGAGCAGGAGUCUUCAACUGCCGCCAAGGCCCAGUUUGACAAGUUCGUGUUGGACAAGGCGGAGGAGAAAGCGGCCUUUGAUCUGGUGCUGGAGAAGACGACAGCUGAGGCGGCGGCACAGAAGGCCAUUGCUGACAAGGCGUUAGUGGACUUCGGCGAGCUGCAGGUAUUCUGCUUGGGAAAGGGUCUCGCGUACUUCGAGGAGGUCUAUUAUUGAUAAUUAACCCAAAAUUGGCUGCUCACGAGCAGGAGUCUUCAACUGCCGCCAAGGCCCAGUUUGACAAGUUCGUGUUGGACAAGGCGGAGGAGAAAGCGGCCUUUGACUUGGUGCUGGAGAAGACGACGGCUGAGGCGGCGGCACAGAAGGCCAUUGCUGACAAGGCGUUAGUGGACUUCGGCGAGCUGCAGGUAUUCUGCUUGGGAAAGGGUCUCGCGUACUUCGAGAAGGUUUGUUUUGAUAAUUAACCCAAAAUUGGCUGCUCACGAGCAGGAGUCUUCAACUGCUGCUAAGGCCCAGUUUGACAAGUUCGUGUUGGACAAGGCGGAGGAGAAAGCGGCCUUUGAUCUUGGUGCUGGAGAAGACGACAGCUGAGGCGGCGGCACAGAAGGCCAUUGCUGACAAGGCGUUAGUGGACUUCGGCGAGCUGCAGGUAUUGUGCUUGGGAAAGGGUCUCGCGUACUUCGAGGAGGUCUGUUUUGAUUAUCACCCCAAAUAUUGCUGCUCACAAGCAGGAGUCUUCAACGGCUGCCAAGGCCCAGUUUGACAAGUUCGUGUUGGACAAGGCGGAGGAGAAAGCGGCCUUUGACUUGGUGCUGGAGAAGACGACAGCUGUGGCGGCGGCACAGAAGGCCAUUGCUGACAAGGCGUUAGUGGACUUCGGCGAGCUGCAGGUAUUCUGCUUGGGAAAGGGUCUCGCGUACUUCGAGAAGGUUUGUUUUGAUUAUUAACCCAAAAUUGGCUGCUCACAAGCAGGAGUCUUCAACGGCUGCUAAGGCCCAGUUUGACAAGUUCGUGUUGGACAAGGCGGAGGAGAAAGCGGCCUUUGACCUGGUGCUGGAGAAGACGACAGCUGAGGCGGCGGCACAGAAGGCCAUUGCUGACAAGGCGUUAGUGGACUUCGGGGAGCUGCAGGUUAGCGCAUGCACAUCUGGUCCAGGGUUUCGUAUGCAGGUCAACCUUUCUUGACCAUGUUGAAUAUUGAUUAGUAUCCGCGUGUGCUUAUUCCCGACGCUUUAGUGCCUUCACUGCUUGCGGUGUGUUCGCGCUGAUGUGCCGGAUUACCGGGCGUUUUAUCCUUAUCCCGCUCGCUGUCUGCAUCAUACUGGUAUGGUCCUUUCCCUCAGCAUUUGCCCAUUACCGAGGCUGAGGUUGGCGGUUAGUAGUAGGCACAGCGGGAAAGCGAUGCCCCUUUCACACCUGGGAAGUGUCGAUUCGUGCGCAUUUCGUGCUGCCGUAGGAGUCCGCCGCAACCACCAAGUCCCAGUUCGACAAGUUCGUGGCGGACAAGGCUGAGGAGAAAGCUGUCUUUGAUCACCUUCUGGAACAGACAGUGGCAGAGGUUGCGGCACAUAAGGCCAUUGCCGACAAGGCGCUGGUGGAUAUGGACGAAAUGCAG
RNAcentral lists this long non-coding RNA (2665 nucleotides) under Volvox carteri. RNAcentral's name for it is "long non-coding RNA (VCAR_LNC001007)". The record is from RNAcentral. Lineage: Eukaryota; Viridiplantae; Chlorophyta; Chlorophyceae; Chlamydomonadales; Volvocaceae.